GCUCUCUGGAUCAGUGGCGAACGGGUGAGUAACACGUGAGCAAUCUGCCCCUGACUCUGGGAUAAGCGCUGGAAACGGCGUCUAAUACCGGAUACGAGCUGUGAAGGCAUCUUCAACAGCUGGAAAGAACUUCGGUCAGGGAUGAGCUCGCGGCCUAUCAGCUAGUUGGUGAGGUAAUGGCUCACCAAGGCGUCGACGGGUAGCCGGCCUGAGAGGGUGACCGGCCACACUGGGACUGAGACACGGCCCAGACUCCUACGGGAGGCAGCAGUGGGGAAUAUUGCACAAUGGGCGCAAGCCUGAUGCAGCAACGCCGCGUGAGGGACGACGGCCUUCGGGUUGUAAACCUCUUUUAGCAGGGAAGAAGCGAAAGUGACGGUACCUGCAGAAAAAGCACCGGCUAACUACGUGCCAGCAGCCGCGGUAAUACGUAGGGUGCAAGCGUUAUCCGGAAUUAUUGGGCGUAAAGAGCUCGUAGGCCG
RNAcentral lists this ribosomal RNA (482 nucleotides) under bacterium Schreyahn_K10.Sali. RNAcentral describes it as "bacterial SSU rRNA". It matches the Rfam family "Bacterial small subunit ribosomal RNA", at positions 82 to 578 of the family's 1533-position model. The record is from RNAcentral.